UCAAGCGACUAAGUGUAUGUGGUGGAUGCCUUGGCGAUCACAGGCGAUGAAGGACGUGACAGCCUGCGAAAAGCUGUGGGGAGCUGGCAAAUAAGCUUUGAUCCACAGAUGUCCGAAUGAGGGAACUCACCUGCUUUGCAGGUAUCCCAUCCUGAAUAUAUAGGGAUGGGAGGCGAACGAAGCGAACUGAAACAUCUAAGUAGCUUCAGGAAAAGAAAUCAACCGAGAUUCCGAAAGUAGCGGCGAGCGAAAUCGGAUCAGCCCAGCACUCGAUAGCAGCCAACUUACGGGAACGGUCUGGAAAGUCCGGCCAUAGAGGGUGAUAGCCCCUUACUGGAAAAGGCAGCUGCGGUACUAAGUGUGCGAUAAGUAGAGCGGGACACGUGACAUCCUGCUCGAAGAUGGGGGGACCAUCCUCCAAGGCUAAAUACUCGUGAUCGACCGAUAGCGUACCAGUACUGUGAAGGAAAGGUUAAAAGAACCCCGGGAGGGGAGUGAAAUAGAUCCUGAAACCGCAUACAUACAAACAGUAGGAGCCUCGUUAAGGGGUGACUGCGUACCUUUUGCAUAAUGGGUCAGCGACUUACGUUUAAUGGCGAGCUUAACCGUAUAGGGGAGGCGCAGCGAAAGCGAGUUCGAACAGAGCGUUCAGUCGUUAGGCGUAGACCCGAAACCAGAUGAUCUAUCCAUGGCCAGGUUGAAGGUGUGGUAACACACACUGGAGGACCGAACCGACUAGUGUUGCAAAAUUAGCGGAUGAGCUGUGGAUAGGGGUGAAAGGCUAAACAAAUCUGGAGAUAGCUGGUUCUCCCCGAAAACUAUUGAGGUAGUGCCUCGUGUAUGACUCCAGGGGGUAGAGCACUGUUAUGGCUAGGGGGACAUGGCGUCUUACCAAACCAUGGCAAACUCCGAAUACUUGGAAGUUUGAGCACGGGAGACAGAGCACCGGGUGCUAACGUCCGGACUCAAGAGGGAAACAACCCAGACCGCCGGCUAAGGUCCCUAAUAUUGACUAAGUGGAAAACGAAGUGGAAAGGCUAAGACAGUCAGGAAGUUGGCUUAGAAGCAGCCAUCCUUCAAAGAAAGCGUAAUAGCUCACUGAUCGAGUCUUUCUGCGCGGAAGAUGUAACGGGGCUAAGUCAAUAACCGAAGCCGCGGAUUCACACUUAUGUGUGAGUGGUAGGGGAGCGUUCUGUAAGCCUGCGAAGGUGACUCGUAAGGGUUGCUGGAGGUAUCAGAAGUGCGAAUGCUGACAUGAGUAACGUUAAAGCGGGUGAAAAGCCCGCUCGCCGUAAGCCCAAGGUUUCCUGCUCUACGUUCAUCGGAGCAGGGUGAGUCGGCCCCUAAGGUGAGGCUGAGAAGCGUAACUGAUGGGAACAAGGUUAAUAUUCCUUGACCACCGCUGAAUGCGAAGGGGGGACGGAGUAUUGAAGAUCAUCCGGGUGUUGGAUAUCCCGGUUUGCGAGCGUAGGAGGCUGACAGGCAAAUCCGUCAGCGAAUCUCCGAGGCGAAGCAUCGAGCUCUCUUUUGAGCGAAGUGAUUGGAUGUGCUUCCAGGAAAAGCCUCUAAGCUCCAGUUCAGCGGGACCGUACCGCAAACCGACACUGGUGGGCGAGCUGAAUAUGCUCAGGCGCUUGAGAGAACUCAGGAGAAGGAACUCGGCAAAUUGACACCGUAACUUCGGGAUAAGGUGUGCCUUUGUAGCGUGGAGGGAGAAACACCCCGAGCGCGAAGAGGUCUCAGAUAAUCGGUGGCUGCGACUGUUUAUUAAAAACACAGCACUCUGCAAAGACGAAAGUCGACGUAUAGGGUGUGAUGCCUGCCCGGUGCUGGAAGAUUAAUUGAUGGGGUGCAAGCUCCUGAUCGAAGUCCCAGUAAACGGCGGCCGUAACUAUAACGGUCCUAAGGUAGCGAAAUUCCUUGUC
Molecule: ribosomal RNA, 1925 nt
Filed under: human gut metagenome
Description: bacterial LSU rRNA
Rfam family: Bacterial large subunit ribosomal RNA
Source: RNAcentral